GCCACCAUGGUUUAGUGGUUUGAGCACUGGACUACAACUCUGGGGUCAAGGGUUCAAAUCUCCAUUUGGCC
Molecule: non-coding RNA, 71 nt
Organism: Phrynosoma platyrhinos (Desert horned lizard)
Lineage: Eukaryota; Metazoa; Chordata; Lepidosauria; Squamata; Phrynosomatidae
Source: the annotation of a GenBank genome assembly